Long non-coding RNA from Aricia agestis (brown argus), 99 nucleotides. RefSeq lists it as uncharacterized. The record is from RefSeq and is a predicted model, not a curated record. Lineage: Eukaryota; Metazoa; Arthropoda; Insecta; Lepidoptera; Lycaenidae. The transcript has 3 exons.
CGUAAUAUAAUAAAUGUGCUCAGACUGCAGAGCUAAGAUCAAGGCUCUUAGGUGACUUUGGCUGCCUGCACAAUGGACGGAUCAAUAGUGUACUUUCGG